RNAcentral lists this ribosomal RNA (252 nucleotides) under uncultured bacterium. RNAcentral describes it as "partial 16S ribosomal RNA". It matches the Rfam family "Bacterial small subunit ribosomal RNA", at positions 524 to 776 of the family's 1533-position model. The record is from RNAcentral.
UACAGAGGUCCCAAGCGUUGUUCGGAUUCAUUGGGCGUAAAGGGUGCGUAGGCGGCGCCGUAAGUCGGAUGUGAAAUCUCGGGGCUCAACCCUGAAACUGCAUUCGAUACUGCGGUGCUAGAGGACUGGAGAGGAAACUGGAAUUCACGGUGUAGCAGUGAAAUGCGUAGAUAUCGUGAGGAAGACCUGUGGCGAAGGCGGGUUUCUGGACAGUGACUGACGCUGAGACGCGAAAGCGUGGGAGCAAACAGG